CCUACGGGGGGCAGCAGUGAGGAAUAUUGGACAAUGGGCGCAAGCCUGAUCCAGCCAUGCCGCGUGCAGGAUGACGGUCCUAUGGAUUGUAAACUGCUUUUGCACAGGAAGAAACAUCCCGACGUGUCGGGACUUGACGGUACUGUGAGAAUAAGGAUCGGCUAACUCCGUGCCAGCAGCCGCGGUAAUACGGAGGAUCCAAGCGUUAUCCGGAAUCAUUGGGUUUAAAGGGUCCGUAGGCGGUUUGGUAAGUCAGUGGUGAAAGCCCAUCGCUCAACGGUGGAACGGCCAUUGAUACUGCCAGACUUGAAUUAUUAGGAAGUAACUAGAAUAUGUAGUGUAGCGGUGAAAUGCUUAGAGAUUACAUGGAAUACCAAUUGCGAAGGCAGGUUACUACUAAUUGAUUGACGCUGAUGGACGAAAGCGUGGGUAGCGAACAGGAUUAGAUACCCCAGUAGUC
RNAcentral lists this ribosomal RNA (460 nucleotides) under uncultured bacterium. RNAcentral describes it as "bacterial SSU rRNA". It matches the Rfam family "Bacterial small subunit ribosomal RNA", at positions 338 to 795 of the family's 1533-position model. The record is from RNAcentral.